ACAUAAGGGUGUGUGUGCAUUCGUGGAGAUGGCCAGGAGAAACUCUCAUGGAGCUCAAACCCUAGCUUGCUCAAGAUCAUCAAAUUAAAGCUCGAUUCAAGCCCUAAAUCAAUGCAUGAACACAUAAAAAUGAUCACCUAGUCAUGGGGAUUAUAAGUUUGAUGCUUAACAAGCUAGAUGGAAGCUUGGGAAGGAAGCGAGUCAAACGGAUUGAGCACGGGGAAGAGAAUAACCGGAUGCAAGGAAUGUCUUAUGGAACUCCGGAUGAGGAUCAAGCAAGAAAGGAGAACCGAACACAUGUCUCGAAGCUUCCGCAACGAUCUUAUUUUGUUCUAGUUUAAAAAGUGAUAUUGUAAACACUUGAAAUUAUAUUUUGGAAUGCUUUAAAUUAUGUAAGAAGAUUAACUUGGAAAAAGUUUUUGUAAGCUUGCAUUUUUGUAUAAAAU
Molecule: long non-coding RNA, 446 nt
Organism: Helianthus annuus (common sunflower)
Lineage: Eukaryota; Viridiplantae; Streptophyta; Magnoliopsida; Asterales; Asteraceae
Exons: 3
Source: RefSeq, a predicted model, not a curated record